Molecule: ribosomal RNA, 462 nt
Filed under: uncultured Pelotomaculum sp.
Lineage: Bacteria; Bacillati; Bacillota; Clostridia; Eubacteriales; Desulfotomaculaceae
Description: bacterial SSU rRNA
Rfam family: Bacterial small subunit ribosomal RNA
Source: RNAcentral
GCACAAGCGGUGGAGCAUGUGGUUUAAUUCGAUGCAACGCGAAGAACCUUACCAGGGCUUGACAUCCCCUGACCGCGUAUGAAAGUACGUUUUCACCCUCGGGUGACAGGGAGACAGGUGGUGCAUGGUUGUCGUCAGCUCGUGUCGUGAGAUGUUGGGUUAAGUCCCGCAACGAGCGCAACCCCUACGUUUAGUUGCUAACGCGUGAAGGCGAGCACUCUAGACGAACUGCCGUUGACAAAACGGAGGAAGGUGGGGAUGACGUCAAAUCAUCAUGCCCCUUAUGUUCUGGGCUACACACGUGCUACAAUGGCCGGUACAGACGGAGGCGAAGCCGCGAGGCGGAGCAAAUCCGAAAAAGCCGGUCUCAGUUCGGAUUGAAGUCUGCAACUCGACUUCAUGAAGUCGGAAUCGCUAGUAAUCGCGGAUCAGAACGCCGCGGUGAAUACGUUCUCGGGGUUU